RNAcentral lists this long non-coding RNA (663 nucleotides) under Heterocephalus glaber (naked mole-rat). Its description in RNAcentral is "lncRNA (ENSHGLG00000042189.1)". Lineage: Eukaryota; Metazoa; Chordata; Mammalia; Rodentia; Bathyergidae. The record is from RNAcentral.
AUGUUUUUUAGGUAUAAAUCUAAGAAAGAUGAAUUUGAAGGAGACCACAAAAGCAUGUACAGACUCUUGGCCAUUGUGGGGAAAACACAGACACCACAGAUUCCAGACCCUAAGAUCUUCACGAAUUAUGUCUCCAGAGAGAAGCUCACUAAAUCCCCAAUUCUUCAUGAAUUCACAAUAUCAUGAAGAAAGUCUGACGUCUUGUGCCAGAGACAAGUCUCACUAAGUUGCUCCAGCUGGUCUCCAAUUUGCAGUCCUCCUGCCUCAGCCUCCCAGAGUUUGAGGAUUACAGAUGCAACAGUCAAGGCAGAAAACCAAGAUCAUCUUCCCAAGGUCUGAGCUACCGAGUAUCAGAGCCAGAAGAGGAGCCAGGCAGGCAUGGUUCCAAGGUCGCUUCCCUGUGAGACUCCACCUUUCUACUUCACUGACCAAUGAUCCGGGAGGGAAGUGCCUGUGAUGAAGAGUGGCCCAUUCCUUGUUCAGAGCUUCAGUGUGGACAUUGCUGUCACUCCCCUGUUAGGGUUGUCACAUAGGGACUUCAGUGGGGAAGAGCAUGUCCCACAUUUACUUCCUCUUCCUAUGUUGACAGGAACAUAAAAGAGUUAACAGAGCAGUGAGUUCAUUCUCACCAGGUCUCUGCAGGCUGAAAGGCUGUGAGCCAGG